GGACGACGCUGGCGGCGUGCCUAACACAUGCAAGUCGAACGGGCGAAGGGAGCUUGCUCCCGGAGCUAGUGGCGAACGGGUGAGUAACGCGUGAGCAACCUGCCUUUCAGAGGGGGACAACGGUCGGAAACGACCGCUAAUACCGCAUGAUGCAAUCGGACCGCAUGAUCUGAUUGACCAAAGAUUUAUCGCUGAAAGAUGGGCUCGCGUCUGAUUAGAUAGUUGGUGGGGUAACGGCCUACCAAGUCGACGAUCAGUAGCCGGACUGAGAGGUUGAACGGCCACAUUGGGACUGAGAUACGGCCCAGACUCCUACGGGAGGCAGCAGUGGGGAAUAUUUGGGCAAUGGGGGAAACCCUGACCCAGCAACGCCGCGUGAAGGAAGAAGGCUUUCGGGUUGUAAACUUCUUUUACCGAGGACGAAGAACGUGACGGUACUCGGAGAAAAAGCCACGGCUAACUACGUGCCAGCCGCGGC
RNAcentral lists this ribosomal RNA (478 nucleotides) under uncultured bacterium. RNAcentral's name for it is "bacterial SSU rRNA". It matches the Rfam family "Bacterial small subunit ribosomal RNA", at positions 33 to 518 of the family's 1533-position model. The record is from RNAcentral.